This is a long non-coding RNA of Rhodamnia argentea, 341 nucleotides long. RefSeq lists it as uncharacterized. The transcript is spliced from 2 exons. The record is from RefSeq and is a predicted model, not a curated record. Lineage: Eukaryota; Viridiplantae; Streptophyta; Magnoliopsida; Myrtales; Myrtaceae.
GACAGGUCCUAUAUGUUUUCGCUCUCCUCUUUUUGAGCACCAUAAUUGCAGAAAUAAAAGCUGCAUCCAAUGUAAGGUGUCCAAGCACGUGGGUCCAAAAUACAGAUGAAAAACUAUGGAGGUCAUCAUACUGAUGCGGGAGGGGGGUUUGCAUGUGUGCAACCUUUGAAUUCGUCAAAUGGAUGAGGAAAAAGGCAAAGGACAAGACAUAUGGGCUGUAUUUCAUACUGCACAUGGAGUGGUUUCGAUCAUUUUUUUCUGUCUGUUUUGCUCCAUGACAUAUCAAACCGACAGUGCUGGGGUUUGCUUGAAGGAAUUGAAGAGAAAACAUUUCCUGUUUG